This 490-nucleotide ribosomal RNA is filed under the name uncultured bacterium. RNAcentral's name for it is "partial 16S ribosomal RNA". It matches the Rfam family "Bacterial small subunit ribosomal RNA", at positions 28 to 507 of the family's 1533-position model. The record is from RNAcentral.
GAUGAACGCUAGCUACAGGCUUAACACAUGCAAGUCGCGGGGCAGCAUGGGGGUUGCUUGCCAUCCCCGAUGGCGACCGGCGCACGGGUGAGUAACGCGUAUCCAACCUGCCCUUCACCACGGGAUAACCCGGCGAAAGUCGGACUAAUACCGUAUGUUGUCCAUUGACGGCAUCCGAUUUGGACGAAAGGCUUGGCGGUGAGGGAUGGGGAUGCGUCCGAUUAGCCAGACGGCGGGGUGACGGCCCACCGUGGCUACGAUCGGUAGGGGUUCUGAGAGGAAGGUCCCCCACACUGGAACUGAGACACGGUCCAGACUCCUACGGGAGGCAGCAGUGAGGAAUAUUGGUCAAUGGGCGUAAGCCUGAACCCGCCAAGUAGCGUGCAGGAUGACGGCCCUAUGGGUUGUAAACUGCUUUUAUGCGGGGAUAAAGUGGCCCACGUGUGGGCUUUUGCAGGUACCGCAUGAAUAAGAACCGGCUAAUUCCGUG